ACGGAAACCGUGUCGUUUUCAGAAGAAAAGGAUGCCUUUUAUAAACGUUUUAGCUCCCCGUUGGAAAAAGUCAUGAUGAUUGGUUUAUUUUUCCGCCGAGUUCCCUCCCUCCUCCUCCUCUGUUCACCGCCGCGACUCGGCUCUAUCUCUAUACAGAGAAUGUAACCUUUCUAAUUGUAUGGAGAUUUCGUCUCUGUAUGUAGACUGUAUUCGUUUUUUUUUUUGUAUGUGAUGUACACACUCACACUGAUAGGGUAUAAAAUUGAUUCCGAACCUCUAAAAACAAAUCUGGUAGAUAGAUAGUGAUAGCCUUCGUUGAGACUUCCUCGAUUAUCUUGACAAGUCCAUUUCUCUAGGGCUCGUGAUGGGGUUGGACUCUCUCUCACUGAAUUCACCUUUUUACGCUUUGAUUUGUUUUUUUUCAGAGAGAUAUUGUAAGCAUCUCAAUUCUCAAAGGAUUCAAUAAACAAUCUUCUCACACUGACUGAGUUAGAAAGUGGGUCACCUGGUGUCGCAGGUGAGGACUGCACAAAUGGCACAGCCCGAGAGAACUUGAAAGGAGCCUGAAACACCACGUAUGAAAGGCUUAUACUGGACUGCAAUGUGCCUAGUAACUAACUCGACCAGACUGGUAUAAAUCGUAUUGCUAGGUUUUAUAUUCAGUUUGCACAAAGUGAGAAGUGGAAAUCGGAAAGUAAGUAGCUGAGGCUCAUAAUGUAGCUAUUUCCACCAGCUUAAUAACCUUGGCAUGUCAAUUGCAGAAUGAAAUGAAAUCAGUCUUGGGAUCGAUACUAUAUUUACCAGGUAAACAACUUGUCUCUUUUUCCCACUGCACUUUAAGCUCUCCUUUGGCUUCUAUCUCAUCUAGUUUAAGCAUUUGUACCAUUAAGCAACUCUCUUUCAACCCCCAAAAGCUCCUAGUCUGCAGCUUUGAUACUUCCUUGAACAUUCCCCUCCAAUACGAAUAACCUAAAUGGUUUGUGGUUCUAAUGACUCAUUCUUGGAACUUUGGAAGCAUAGAAUGUUACUCGCAAGGGAUUUUACGGGAAAGAGAUGGUUGUUGAUACAAGAGGAUAUAGUAGGUUCACCUUUUUGGAAAGCUUAUCAACCUCAUCACUCACUCCCACCGAUUUUGGCCUUUUGUACGUUUCCCAAUCUGUGAAUAGUUAAGCUUUUGUCUUUGGGGAAGAAUUAAGUUAAUGUGAGAGUUUUCAGGGUUAUGUCUAAAAUAAAGUACAAAGAGUGUUAGUAGAGUAAGCAAUCAAAAAAGUAAACUUUGAAAACAACCUCUCAGCUCCUUUUAUGGGAAAUCAUACUCUGAUCGUAAUCGUAUCAUUAAAAUAUCAUAAAGGUUAUAUAUGUUGUGGCCAUUGUAGAGUUAACGUUUCUCGUAAUUCAUCACUCGUUUUCUAUU
Long non-coding RNA from Capsella rubella, 1414 nucleotides. RefSeq lists it as uncharacterized. The record is from RefSeq and is a predicted model, not a curated record. The transcript is spliced from 3 exons. NCBI's taxonomy places the organism in Eukaryota, Viridiplantae, Streptophyta, Magnoliopsida, Brassicales, Brassicaceae.